RNAcentral lists this ribosomal RNA (1832 nucleotides) under Suberites domuncula. RNAcentral's name for it is "small subunit ribosomal RNA". The stretch from base 1 to 1488 matches the Rfam family "Bacterial small subunit ribosomal RNA". Lineage: Eukaryota; Metazoa; Porifera; Demospongiae; Suberitida; Suberitidae. The record is from RNAcentral.
UUCUUUUGAUUUUGGGGAAGAUAUAAAGCGAGCAGCACUUUUAAUACAUGCUAGGAAAGCAGAUACAUGCGUAGUUUUGCCUAUAGACUUGUAAAUGCUCCGUACAGGUGAGUAAUGCUUCGGAUUCAAUCAAUUAAACUAUAGAGAUAGAGUUAACCUAAAGGGGAAACUUAGAUAAAUUGAUGGGCCAGAGUCGUAUUAGGUCAAGAAGGUCCUUGAAGUAACCCCAUAACCCUUAGGGUUGUGGGGUUUAAUAAUUAUUUUCUUACCAAAGAUGCGUAGCUGAAAAGCCACACUUCCACUGAAACAAGGGGGAGACUCAGUAUAGAGGCAGCAGUAGAGAAUCUUGUGCAAUGUAUGAAAGUAUGACACAGAGAUGUUGCAAAAGAAGACCGUCCAAUAUACGUGCCAGCAGACGCGGUUAUACGUAAGGUCUAAGUUUUUAUCAGAAAAGGCGUAAAGGGUGUGUCGGCGUUAAUUCGGAUAAAUUUUGAUCAAAAUGAAAUUAGUAGUUUAUUACGAUGAUAAGGAGUUUAGGGGGUAAAUGGAAUUUUAUGUAGCGGUAGAAUGCUUUUAUAUAAAUUAGAACACCGUAGGCGAAAGCGAUUUACUACAAAAAACUGGCGCGGAAACACGAAAGUAAGGGGAGCAAAUAGGAUUAGAUACCCUAGUAGUCCUUACUGUAAAUUAUGAAUACAAGAUCACAAAUUAAAGAUGCGAUAUAAGCCUUUGGAUGAAACCUAUGGGUUAAUUCAGGGGCUGAGCUUUGCUUCGUUUUAUAUGUGGUCAACAAAAACUUAAGAGAAUUCCGCCUGAAGAGUACGAUCGCAAGAUUAAAAUUCAAAAAAUUUGGCGGUUCACUAAUCCAAUUAGAGGAGCGUGUGGUUUAAUUCGAUAGUCCGCGAUUAACCUUACCAAAAUUAGAAGCAAGCGCAGCCUUCAGGAAUUUGUACUUGAAAUGUUGGAUAGUUUAAUUAACCCCUAAAAUUUAAAAAUCUUAGGGGUUAAUUCAGAGACUUAACCCCAUCAAUAGAUCGUAAAUUUAUCCUAGGCCGGCUUGAAUUCAGGUAUUGCAUGGCCGUCGUCAGUUCGUGUUGUGAAAGAAAUAGAACGAACUUAACCCUUAAUCAAAUUAUUAUUUAGCGCAACUUGCCUUUGUAUAAACCCUUUGGGUUAAAUGAUACAUAAGGGUCUUAACCUUAAAAAUUUUUAAGGAGCGAUUUUAGCAAGAUAAAUUAUAUGAUUUAAGGAUGACGUCAGGUCCUUAUGAUCCACAUGUUUUGGGCUACAUAUGCGCUACAAUUUAUACACAAAAAGAAUUUAAAACCUUUAAAGUAAAAGUUCGGAAAACUCUUUGAAAUAAGGAGUAUGAAGUUGGAUUUAAUAGUAAUCAAAAAGUAGAGCGUUUUGGUGAAUAUGGCUCUAGUGUUCGUACAAAUCGCCCGUCAUCUCUACCGAGUAAAGAGUCUUAAAGUGUUAAACUAGAAUUAAUAUAUUUACGUAGCAUGAAGUUUAGCUUUUGGGGAGUUUUAUUCUACGAAUCAAAUGAGAAACCAAAGAAAUGCUAAUUAGAUUCUUCAUGUUAUCAAACUUUGAAAGGAAAUAUAAUCAUUUAUUAAAUCCUAAGAUUUAAAAAUCUUAGGUUUUAAUCUAAAGGCAAAAACGAGUUCGAUUUUAAAUCUGUAUCUUAAGCUUUUAGAAUGAAAGAAAAAAAACCAAAUAUGAGAACUAAAGGGUUAAAACUUUAAUUUAUGGUUUAGCAUCACGGAGGGUUUAUAAGGUUGAGGAAGUCGUAACACAGCGGGGGUAUUGGAAAAUGUCCCCAGAUUAAU